This 73-nucleotide transfer RNA is filed under the name Candidatus Epulonipiscium sp. RNAcentral describes it as "tRNA-Arg". It matches the Rfam family "tRNA". From Rfam's summary of the family: Transfer RNA (tRNA) molecules are approximately 80 nucleotides in length. Their secondary structure includes four short double-helical elements and three loops (D, anti-codon, and T loops). The record is from RNAcentral. Lineage: Bacteria; Bacillati; Bacillota; Clostridia; Lachnospirales; Lachnospiraceae.
CAUCUGUAGCUCAAAUGGAUAGAGCGUAUGGCUACGAACCAUAAAGUUGUAGGUUCAAAUCCUUCCAGAUGCA